CGACUGGCGGCGUGCAUAACACAUGCAAGUCGAACGAUGAACUUAAUUGAUCUCUUCGGAGUGAAAUUAAGUGGAUUAGUGGCGGACGGGUGAGUAACGCGUGAGUAACCUGCCUUAGAGAAGGGGAUAGCCUUUGGAAACAGGUGCUAAUACCGGAUAAUAAAGCAGAUCGCAUGAUCAGCUUUUGAAAGGCGGCGUAAGCUGUCGCUAAGGGAUGGCCCCGCGGUGCAUUAGCUAGUUGGUAAGGUAACGGCUUACCAAGGCGACGAUGCAUAGCCGAGUUGAGAGACUGAUCGGCCACACUGGGACUGAGACACGGCCCAGACUCCUACGGGAGGCAGCAGUAGGGAAUCUUCCACAAUGGGUGAAAACCUGAUGGAGCAAUGCCGCGUGAAUGAAGAAGGUCUUCGGAUCGUAAAGUUCUGUUAUUAGAGAAGAACAAGUCAAGGAGUAACUGUCUUGACUUUGACGGUACCUAACCAGAAAGUCACGGCUAACUACGUG
Molecule: ribosomal RNA, 504 nt
Filed under: uncultured bacterium
Lineage: Bacteria
Description: bacterial SSU rRNA
Rfam family: Bacterial small subunit ribosomal RNA
Source: RNAcentral